RNAcentral lists this ribosomal RNA (253 nucleotides) under uncultured bacterium. RNAcentral's name for it is "partial 16S ribosomal RNA". It matches the Rfam family "Bacterial small subunit ribosomal RNA", at positions 524 to 776 of the family's 1533-position model. The record is from RNAcentral.
GACAGAGGGUGCAAACGUUGUUCGGAAUUACUGGGCGUAAAGCGCGUGUAGGCUGCUUGGAAAGUCGGAUGUGAAAGCCCUGGGCUUAACCCAGGAAGUGCACUCGAAACUUCCGAGCUUGAGUUCUGGAGAGGGUGGCGGAAUUCUCGGUGUAGAGGUGAAAUUCGUAGAUAUCGGGAGGAACAUCAGUGGCGAAGGCGGCCCUCUGGUCCAGUACUGACACUCAAGUGCGAAAGCGUGGGGAGCAAACAGG